AUGAGCACUGGGUGUUAAAUGCAACUGAUGAAUCACUAAAUUCUACCCCUGAAACUAAUAAUACACUGUAUGUUAACUAAAUUGAAUUCAAAUAAAAAAUGAAAAAAAAAACCUGUUAUGUGAUCCAUUCUAGGACAUAUUAUUGUUGGCAUGGAUUCGUAUCAUUGUUUAUAUUCAUAACCUUGUGUUGGCAGGUGCGUGCUUGUUCCUGUGAUGAGUUCAGAGCAACUGCCAUCUGCGCAAUGGGAGGUCCGAAACUGAAAAGGGAAGGGGAAGACUGAAUGUAUUCUGAAAAGGGUCCUUGAGAAGUAGUCUUUUGACUUUCAGUACAUCAUAAACAGAAGGCAGCAGGGGAAAUUUUUUCAGGAGAAAUUGCACAAGCAGGGACUAAAAUGGUAUCUGUGCCUUCAUGGUCAACGUCUGUCUUCAGCAAUCCCACUGCACGUGUGAGGCUGCAGCACUGCGUGUCCAGGAACUUAGGCCCCCUGCCUGUACCCUUGCUGCCAUGCUGGGGCAUGUUGGUGUCGGAACGAGUGAGAAUGAGCCAACCCGGAGAAUGCCACAGUUUCUUGCGUCCUUACAAGUUCAUUGUGAGACUUCAGGCAAGUGGGUUGACUGGGAAGACCACACGUUCUCUGGGAAGCUGGAGAAGCAGCCCCUGACAGCUCCAAGGCUCGUAGCCAAACUAUUCCGAGAUCAUAAAAGAAAAGAACUCCUCUCUCCCAGAAUCGGUUUCUUCCAAGGUCCAGAGGCCUUUGUUACCAGCCAAACUUGGUUUGUGUUCCAGUUCUUCUGGCCAGAGGAGUGGAGUCUUUAACCAGAGAAGGAACGUCCCCCAGAUAAGCGGUACCUUCCUCCUUCCCAGUUUAAUGACCAACCUUUCCACGCUUCAUUUUUGACCCUAGGUGGGUAUUAUGGGAGAGAUAUAAAGCAUCUGCCUUAUUUCUUCAACUACCAGUUAAAGUCUGUAUUUGCGUAUAUAUUAUAAACUGUUCCUUUCAUUGUUCAAAUGGUAAAUGUGACUUAAUAUUUGCCCAGGUGGAUAAGAUAGCUGUUUUAUGGGUAUAUUAGAACUGUUAGUUAAUAAAAUCUAACUCAGAGGAAGGUAUUUCA
RNAcentral lists this long non-coding RNA (1113 nucleotides) under Ursus maritimus (polar bear). RNAcentral describes it as "lncRNA (ENSUMAG00000016430.1)". Lineage: Eukaryota; Metazoa; Chordata; Mammalia; Carnivora; Ursidae. The record is from RNAcentral.